GCAAGUCGAGCGGUAGAGAGAAGCUUGCUUCUCUUGAGAGCGGCGGACGGGUGAGUAAUGCCUAGGAAUCUGCCUGGUAGUGGGGGAUAACGUUCGGAAACGGACGCUAAUACCGCAUACGUCCUACGGGAGAAAGCAGGGGACCUUCGGGCCUUGCGCUAUCAGAUGAGCCUAGGUCGGAUUAGCUAGUUGGUGAGGUAAUGGCUCACCAAGGCUACGAUCCGUAACUGGUCUGAGAGGAUGAUCAGUCACACUGGAACUGAGACACGGUCCAGACUCCUACGGGAGGCAGCAGUGGGGAAUAUUGGACAAUGGGCGAAAGCCUGAUCCAGCCAUGCCGCGUGUGUGAAGAAGGUCUUCGGAUUGUAAAGCACUUUAAGUUGGGAGGAAGGGCAGUUACCUAAUACGUGAUUGUUUUGACGUUACCGACAGAAUAAGCACCGGCUAACUCUGUGCCAGCAGCCGCGGUAAUACAGAGGGUGCAAGCGUUAAUCGGAAUUACUGGGCGUAAAGCGCGCGUAGGUGGUUAGUUAAGUUGGAUGUGAAAUCCCCGGGCUCAACCUGGGAACUGCAUUCAAAACUGACUGACUAGAGUAUGGUAGA
RNAcentral lists this ribosomal RNA (603 nucleotides) under Pseudomonas sp. a8(2015). RNAcentral's name for it is "bacterial SSU rRNA". It matches the Rfam family "Bacterial small subunit ribosomal RNA", at positions 57 to 655 of the family's 1533-position model. The record is from RNAcentral. Lineage: Bacteria; Pseudomonadati; Pseudomonadota; Gammaproteobacteria; Pseudomonadales; Pseudomonadaceae.